GAUGAAGACGUAGCGAAAUGCGAUAAGUAAUGUGAAUUGCAGAAUUCAGUGAAUCAUCGAAUCUUUGAACGCACAUUGCGCCCGCCAGUAUUCUGGCGGGCAUGCCUGUUCGAGCGUCAUUUCAACCCUCAAGCCCAGCUUGGUGUUGGGGAUCGGCACAGGCGCCCUCGGGCGCCCGCCGUCCCCUAAAUCUAGUGGCGGUCCCGCUGCAGCCUCCUCUGCGUAGUAGUUUUCUCCUCGCAAGGGCAGCUCGGUGGCGACCUCGCCGUAAAACCCCCAACUUCUGAAAGGUUGACCUCGAAUCAGGUAGGAAUACCCGCUGAACUUAAGCAUAUCAAUAAGCGGAGGA
Molecule: unclassified non-coding RNA, 349 nt
Filed under: soil metagenome
Description: partial contains 5.8S ribosomal RNA, internal transcribed spacer 2, and large subunit ribosomal RNA
Rfam family: 5.8S ribosomal RNA (bases 1-119)
Source: RNAcentral